This 253-nucleotide ribosomal RNA is filed under the name uncultured bacterium. RNAcentral's name for it is "partial 16S ribosomal RNA". It matches the Rfam family "Bacterial small subunit ribosomal RNA", at positions 524 to 776 of the family's 1533-position model. The record is from RNAcentral.
UACGUAGGCAGCGAGCGUUGUUCGGAAUUACUGGGCGUAAAGAGUGUGUAGGCGGUGCUCUAAGUUCGGUGUGAAAUCUCCUGGCUCAACUGGGAGGGUGCGCCGGAAACUGGAGUGCUUGAGCGUGGGAGAGGAAAGCGGAAUUCCUGGUGUAGCGGUGAAAUGCGUAGAGAUGUGGAGGAAUACCGAUGGCGAAGGCAGCCCCCUGGGUCAAUACUGACGCUCAUGCACGAAAGCGUGGGGAGCAAACAGG